GACACAUCCAAAUACGGUGAAUUCUUCAUACUAGAAAGUAACUUUAUUAUUUCUAUUGCAUUUCAGCUGGGUUUAUUUUUAUUUUUAUUUUUAUAUAUUUACUUAUUUAUUUAUUUUGAUACGGUGUCACUUUGUCAUCCAGGCUGGCGUGCAGUGGCGCGAUCUUGCCUCACUGCAGCCUCAACCUCCUGAGUUCAAGGGAUCCUCCUACCUCAGCCCCCACCAAGUACCAGCUGCCUUUUUAAUGUCGCUCAUGCAUCACGUUCCCUGCAGGAUCCUGUGUCUCUGAAGAUAAGUAGCAGGCUGUGAGAACUGACAGAAUGGCUGCUGGGAUGUGGCCAUGGGAAUGAUCUUCUUAUCACAGACUGUACUUGGAAUCCUGGGAAUUUCUCUCUUAUUUAGCAUUAUCUGUCCUUUUACAUCACUGGGUGCAGGUUAAGGUCCACAGAUUUGAUGAUCAGACACCUAAUUGUAGCCAACACCUUAUUCCUCCUCCCUAGAGGAGUCCCACGGACAAUGGCAGCUUUUGAGUUUAGACAUUUCCUGAAUGAUUCCGGAUGUAAAUUUCUUUUUUGUGUCCACAGAGUAGGCAGGGGAGUGUCCAUUGGCAGCACCUGCCUCCUGAGUGUCUCCCAGGCCAUCACCAUCAGCCCCAGGAGCUCAGGUGGGCAGAGCUUAAAGGGAAAGCCCCCAAGCACGCUGGCUCCUGUGUGUUCCUCAGCUGGCUCCUCCCUGCUCAGUAUCAUUGUUCUUAUGCACGUGACUGACAAGUGGAGCAACAAAAAUACCACAAAGACAAAAGAUCUGGGAUACUGUUCUGCUGGUCAUCACGAGGACACCAGAGAGUCGCUGACGCGGCACUGCUGUCCUUCCCUGAUGUGAUCUGCCUGGGGCUCAUGCUCUGGGGCAGCAGCUCCAUCGUUUGCAUCCUGCACAGGCACAAGCGGCGGGUCCAGCACAUUCAUAGGACCAGCGUCUCCCCCACAUCCUCCCCCGAGUCCAGAGCUACCAAAACCAUCCUCCUGGAGCAGGAAAGGACAAGGAGUCCCCGAAGCUGAUACUGAGUUCAUGGGGUUGAGCUGACAGCGGCCAACAGGCUGUGAUGGGAUCUCACUCUGUCGGCCAGGCUGGAAUGCAAUGGUGCCAACUUGGCUCAGUGCAACCUCCCCACCCCGGGCUCCAACAAUCCUCCCAUCUCAGCCUCUGAAGUAGCUGGGACUACAGGUUCUAGCACAUAUUAACACCGUGUGUCUAAAGUCAUUCCUGCUGGUCAUCUGGAGGAAUCUGAGAAGGGGCAGGUCUUUCUUCUGACUCUCAGAGCAGCACCCUCUACAGGACAGGGCCGGGCACCUCAUCUCAAGCCCAAUCUGAUCCACCAACAGAGUCCGUUAUCUCCUGUCCGGGGAAGAGUCAAGCUGCACUAAUCUAGACCAGGGAUCCCCACCCCUGGGCUGCGGACCGGUCCCCAUGGGUGGCCUGUUAGGAACUGGACCGCACAGCAGGAGGUGAGCAGUGGGUGAGGGCGCGUGACCACCUGAGCUCUGCCUCCUGUGAGAUCAGCAGCGCCACUGCAUCUCAGAGGAGUGCCAACCCUACUGUGAACUGUGCACGCGAGGGAUCUGGGUUGCAUGCUCUUUAUGAGAAUCUAACUAAUGCCUGAUGAUCUCAGGUGGAACAGUUUAAUCCUGAAACCAUUCCCCCCAUCUGUGGAAAAACUGUCUUCCACCAAACCAGUCCCUGGUGCCAAAAACACUGGGAACCACUAAUCUAGACAGUUCUCUGCUAAGGAAGCACGUGGUUGAGAAGCAUCAGAAUCGUUCCCACGGACCAUGCUCCGGAGUCUCAGCAGGCUCCUGCAGUGUGUUUAUCCGUGCGUCAUGAAGGACCCUCAUACGGCUGACGUGCCUUGGCUGAUGCGAGUAACACUGCAGCAAGCGUGGGAGUGCAGAUAGCUCUUGGAAAUACCCAUUUCCUUCAGAUGCAUACUCAGAGGCCAGUCGCGGUGGCUCAAGCCUGUAAUCCCAGCACUUUGGACGACAGAGCGAGACUCCAUCUGAAAAAAAGAAAGAAAGAAAAAAAAAGAAAGUGACUUUUCAAGACUGUGAUUUAUGGUCUCCCCUGGGAACCAACAGUAUCUGUGCUGAGAGCAGAUAUUUGGGUGGAAGGGGCUCUGGUGUGCAGGGCAUGCCUUCUGUAGCUCAGUGCUUCUGACAAUGGGUCCAAGGGGAGAAACAUUGGCAUUAACAGGGAACUUGUUAAAGAUGCCAAUUUAUAAAUGCUACCUCAAACCUGCAGAAUCAAACAUUAUUACAGUGGGUUGUGGAGUGCCAGAUGACUUAUAUUCACCUUAAAGCUUGAGAGUCAGUGCUUAGCUAAGAGGCUUUCAGCCCAGGCUU
This is a long non-coding RNA of Gorilla gorilla gorilla (western lowland gorilla), 2396 nucleotides long. RefSeq lists it as uncharacterized. The record is from RefSeq and is a predicted model, not a curated record. NCBI's taxonomy places the organism in Eukaryota, Metazoa, Chordata, Mammalia, Primates, Hominidae. The transcript has 7 exons.